GGCGAGAUGUCCGAGUGGUCUAAGGAGUUGGAUUCAAGCGAGAGCUUGCUCAUUACAUGAGUUUCCCAAUAGCGGUUGCUGCGCGGGUUCGAAUCCCGCUCUCGUCA
Molecule: non-coding RNA, 107 nt
Organism: Schizophyllum amplum
Lineage: Eukaryota; Fungi; Basidiomycota; Agaricomycetes; Agaricales; Schizophyllaceae
Source: the annotation of a GenBank genome assembly